Molecule: RNA transcript, 1757 nt
Organism: Daucus carota subsp. sativus
Lineage: Eukaryota; Viridiplantae; Streptophyta; Magnoliopsida; Apiales; Apiaceae
Gene name: transcription initiation factor TFIID subunit 15b
Exons: 7
Source: RefSeq, a predicted model, not a curated record
ACAACAUAUAUUAAAAAUAUAUUAUAGCGUGUACUCUCCUCUCUGUACCACAGAAACCCUAGAUCAUCAUCAUGUCUGGUAUGUACGGUCACGAAGGCGACGGAUCUGCUCCUCCGUCUUACGGCGGCGGCGGAUAUGGAGGCGGAGGGGGAUACGGAGGCAGCCGUGAUGCUGGAGGUUACGGCGGAGGUAAUAGAGGAGGUUACGAUGGCAGUGGCGGCGGCGGAGGUUACGGCGGUGGCGGAGGUCGUGAUGGCGGUGGAGGAGGUUAUGGGAAUCGAGGCGGCGGAGGUGGCAGAGGCGGCGGCGGCGGAGGAUAUGGUGGUAAUUCACAAAGUAGAGGUGGUGGAUAUCAAGGGGGAAGUGGUGGCAGAGGAGGUGGCCGUGGCGGUGGAGGAAGUGGCAGGGACGGAGAUUGGCGUUGCCCUAAUGCCAGCUGUGGGAAUAUGAAUUUUGCGAGAAGAGACAAGUGUAACAAGUGUGGUGCACCGUCUCCGGCUGGUCCUGGUGAUAGUCAUGGCAGUGACGGUGGCAAUUACAGCAGAGGUGGUGGUGGUGGUGGGAGAUAUGGUGAUAGCAGAGGUAAAGGUGAUAACUAUGACAGUGGGAGAGGUAGUGCGUCUUAUGGAGGAAGAGACGGGGGUGGUUAUAAUCAAAGCGCUCCAUCUUAUGGUGGCUCUGGCAACAACUACCCACCACCAUCGAACUCUUACAAUGCGAACCCUAUUUACGAUGCUGAUAAUGCAGUUCCUCCACCGACAAGCUAUACUGGUGGGCCUACAUCGUAUCCUCCAUCAUAUGGCGCUUCUACUGGUUAUGGGGGUGAUGCUAAUUCUGACUCUCGUGGUGGUGGUCGGGGUGGACCACCUGGUGGGCAACGUAAUGAUGGUGGUCUGUAUGGCGCUCCUCCUGUAACUGAAGAAAAAGUGAAGCAAUGUGAUGAUAAAUGUGAUGAUACCUGCGACAAUGCUAGAAUUUACAUAUCUAAUUUGCCUCCGGAUGUCACCGUUGAUGAACUGCAAAAUCUCUUUGGAGGAAUUGGACAAGUUGCAAGAAUCAAGCAAAAGAGAGGCUACAAGGAUCAGUGGCCCUGGAACAUUAAAAUAUACACAGAUGAAAAAGGAAAAUCCAAAGGCGAUGGUUGUGUAGUCUAUGAAGAUCCUUCUGCAGCCCAUUCUGCUGGGGGCUUUUUUAAUAAUUAUGAAAUGAGAGGCUAUAAAAUCACUGUUGGAAUGGCUGAGAAGUCGGCACCAAGACCUGCUCCUGCACAUGGUCAAGGAGGUGGAAGAGGAGGUGGAGGUGGGAGAGGUGGCUAUGGUGGUGGUGGACGCAGAGACAACUAUGGUGGUCCAGAUAGGAACAACCGUGGCGGGAACCGUUCAAAUCCAUACUGAGCUUAAGCCUGAACAAUUUAUGUACUUGAAAAGCUAUUGGUUGAAGGACUUUUUUUGUUUUUCUUUUUAAUGCCUGUUUGGAAGUUGCUCUCUUAGAUGUGGAAAUAGAUUCAAGUGGAAUGUCUACAAAUUGCUGCUAAGAUAGUUUGAUAUUAUCAGGUGAGUGUUGCCUCUUUAUGCUAGUUUUGGGAUGAGAGGGUCCUGUGGAUUUGCAUGUUAAUUAUUUUCUUUCUAUAAUUUUCAGAACUAGUUGUAAUAUUUUUAUAUAAUUGCUAACAUAAACCUGCCAUAGAGACCUAGUGUAUAUUAUUAGACAGAAUCCAUGACUGUGAUCCAUAAUUCAUGAACUGCAUUUUUUGUGUC